UACGGAGGGUGCAAGCGUUGCUCGGAAUUAUUGGGCGUAAAGCGCACGCAGGCGGCAAGGUAAGUCAGUUGUGAAAUCCCCGGGCUUAACCUGGGAACAGCAUUUGAUACUGCCAUGCUAGAGUACGGAAGAGGGGAGCGGAAUUCCCAGUGUAGAGGUGAAAUUCGUAGAUAUUGGGAGGAACACCGGUGGCGAAAGCGGCUCCCUGGUCCGAUACUGACGCUCAUGUGCGAAAGCGUGGGGAGCAAACAGG
Molecule: ribosomal RNA, 253 nt
Filed under: uncultured bacterium
Lineage: Bacteria
Description: partial 16S ribosomal RNA
Rfam family: Bacterial small subunit ribosomal RNA
Source: RNAcentral